RNAcentral lists this ribosomal RNA (115 nucleotides) under Danio rerio (zebrafish). Lineage: Eukaryota; Metazoa; Chordata; Actinopteri; Cypriniformes; Danionidae. The record is from RNAcentral.
GCUAGCAGCUAGCUCUCUGUAACUCUCACUUGGCCGCCCACUGAAGCUAAGCAGGGCUGCUCCUGGUCAGUACCUGGACGGGAGACCACAUGGGAAAGCUAGGUAGCUGCCGGAA